CUUAGUGGCGGACGGGUGAGUAACGCGUGAGGAACCUGCCUUUCAGAGGGGGACAACAGUUGGAAACGACUGCUAAUACCGCAUAACGUACGGGUAUCGCAUGGUACUGGUACCAAAGAUUUAUCGCUGAGAGAUGGCCUCGCGUCUGAUUAGCUGGUUGGCGGGGUAAAGGCCCACCAAGGCGACGAUCAGUAGCCGGCCUGAGAGGGUGGACGGCCACAUUGGGACUGAGACACGGCCCAAACUCCUACGGAAGGCAGCAG
RNAcentral lists this ribosomal RNA (263 nucleotides) under uncultured bacterium. RNAcentral describes it as "partial 16S ribosomal RNA". It matches the Rfam family "Bacterial small subunit ribosomal RNA", at positions 91 to 354 of the family's 1533-position model. The record is from RNAcentral.